UGGUAGUAUGGAGGCGGGCUGGACCUCUCGGGGUUACAGCCUUGCUGAAUUAUUCACCCUUGUCUUUUGCGUACUUCUUGUUUCCUUGGUGGGUUCGCCCACCACUAGGACAAACAUAAACCUUUUGUAAUUGCAAUCAGCGUCAGUAACAAAUUAAUAAUUACAACUUUCAACAACGGAUCUCUUGGUUCUGGCAUCGAUGAAGAACGCAGCGAAAUGCGAUAAGUAGUGUGAAUUGCAGAAUUCAGUGAAUCAUCGAAUCUUUGAACGCACAUUGCGCCCUUUGGUAUUCCAAAGGGCAUGCCUGUUCGAGCGUCAUUUGUACCCUCAAGCUUUGCUUGGUGUUGGGCGUCUUGUCUCUAGCUUUGCUGGAGACUCGCCUUAAAGUAAUUGGCAGCCGGCCUACUGGUUUCGGAGCGCAGCACAAGUCGCACUCUCUAUCAGCAAAGGUCUAGCAUCCAUUAAGCCUUUUUUUCAACUUUUGACCUCGGAUCAGGUAGGGAUA
Molecule: ribosomal RNA, 505 nt
Filed under: fungal sp.
Lineage: Eukaryota; Fungi
Description: eukaryotic LSU rRNA
Rfam family: 5.8S ribosomal RNA (bases 165-318)
Source: RNAcentral